CGCGUAGGCGGACUAUUAAGUCAGGGGUGAAAUCCCGGGGCUCAACCCCGGAACUGCCCUUGAUACUGGUAGUCUUGAGUUCGAGAGAGGUGAGUGGAAUUCCGAGUGUAGAGGUGAAAUUCGUAGAUAUUCGGAGGAACACCAGUGGCGAAGGCGGCUCACUGGCUCGAUACUGACGCUGAGGUGCGGAAGCGUGGGGAGCAAACA
Molecule: ribosomal RNA, 207 nt
Filed under: uncultured bacterium
Lineage: Bacteria
Description: partial 16S ribosomal RNA
Rfam family: Bacterial small subunit ribosomal RNA
Source: RNAcentral